This 28-nucleotide non-coding RNA is filed under the name Mus musculus (house mouse). The record is from RNAcentral. Lineage: Eukaryota; Metazoa; Chordata; Mammalia; Rodentia; Muridae.
UAGUUGUCGUGCAACAUAAAAUGUUCCU